AGCUGAUUUUGGCAGGCCCCCAGAAUUGACAACACAAAAGCGAAAGAUUCCGGGAGAUGUCUGCUCCAGUGAGGGCGUAACAACCGAGGCCUAGGAAGACACUUUCAAGGAACUAUAGCUGUCUGCUGAAAUUUGUACCAUUAAACUGACGUAAGGCCCAGUUGGCAGCUGUAGACGUUGUAUGUUUAAAUGAUGUGAGCAGGGUGGGCAAUCUAGCGUUAAUGCAACCAUGUAAAUAGCC
Long non-coding RNA from Schistocerca cancellata (South American locust), 241 nucleotides. RefSeq lists it as uncharacterized. The record is from RefSeq and is a predicted model, not a curated record. NCBI's taxonomy places the organism in Eukaryota, Metazoa, Arthropoda, Insecta, Orthoptera, Acrididae. The transcript has 3 exons.